UACGUAGGUGGCAAGCGUUGUCCGGAAUUAUUGGGCGUAAAGCGCACGCAGGCGGUUCGGUAAGUCGGAUGUGAAAGCCCACGGCUCAACAGUGGAGGGUCAUUGGAAACUGGGGAACUUGAGUGCAGAAGAGGAAAGCGGAAUUCCACGUGUAGCGGUGAAAUGCGUAGAGAUGUGGAGGAACACCAGUGGCGAAGGAGGCUUUCUGGUCUGUAACUGACGCUGAGGCGCGAAAACGUGGGGAGCAAACAGG
This 253-nucleotide unclassified non-coding RNA is filed under the name uncultured Bacillaceae bacterium. Its description in RNAcentral is "contains 16S-23S intergenic spacer region". It matches the Rfam family "Bacterial small subunit ribosomal RNA", at positions 524 to 776 of the family's 1533-position model. The record is from RNAcentral. Lineage: Bacteria; Bacillati; Bacillota; Bacilli; Caryophanales; Bacillaceae.